UAUAUUGCGCAAUGGGGGAAACCCUGAUCCAGCCAUCCCGCGUGUAUGAUGAAGGCCNNNGGGUGNUNAAGUACUUUUGGCAGNGANNAAAAGGUAUCCCGUAAUAAGGGAUACUGCUGACGACAUCUGCAGACUAAGCACCGGCUAACUACGUGCAAGCAGCCGCGGUAAUACGUAGGGUGCAAGCGUUAAACGGUAUUACCGGGCGUAAAGCGUGUGUAGGCGGUUCGGAAAGAACGAUGUGAAAUCCCAGGGCUCAACCUUGGAACUGCAUUUUUAACUGCCGAGCUAGAGUAUGUCAGAGGGGGGUAGAAUUCCAAGUGUAGCAGUGAAAUGCGUAGAUAUGUGGAGGAAUACCGAUGGCGAAGGCAGCCCCCUGGGAUAAUACUGACGCUCAGACACGAAAGCGUGGGGAGCAAACAGG
RNAcentral lists this ribosomal RNA (424 nucleotides) under uncultured bacterium. Its description in RNAcentral is "partial 16S ribosomal RNA". It matches the Rfam family "Bacterial small subunit ribosomal RNA", at positions 359 to 776 of the family's 1533-position model. The record is from RNAcentral.